This 318-nucleotide ribosomal RNA is filed under the name Globigerinoides ruber albus. RNAcentral's name for it is "partial small subunit ribosomal RNA". It matches the Rfam family "Eukaryotic small subunit ribosomal RNA", at positions 1179 to 1685 of the family's 1831-position model. The record is from RNAcentral. Lineage: Eukaryota; Foraminifera; Rotaliida; Globigerinidae.
AAGCGUGCGGCCAGUAGAACGUCGGCAAUUGCCCUGGCGUCUUCUACCGCACGAUUAUCAACCUUCCCUUAACAGGGCGGGCAACCUUUUCAAAAUACCGGUUUGAUGUUAAAGUAUAGAGUCGUUUUUUAUGGAUGGUGGUUUACGAACCAAUACCAUCCGCAACUGCUCGCGAGUUUGUGGUUCUGGUGACUCAUGGUGGGGACCGAUGUUUGUAAUUGUUUGUCGCGUGUCAACUAGGAAUGCCUUGUACUGUCGAUUCACUAAGUUAUUGGGAAUACGUCCCUGCCCUUUGUACACACCGCCCGUCGCUCUUAC